UAUUCAGGUUGAUUCGAAGAAGAUAGAGUGGUUUAGAGUUGUCCCAGACCGUCAUCAGCCACAGAGAUUCAUAGUUUUCUUGGUUUGGCGGGUUAUUAUCGCCGGUUUGUUUAGGGAUUUUCAUCCAUCGCAUCGCCCUUGACCAAGUUUACUCAGAAGGGUGCUUCAUUUGUAUGGUCGUAUGAGUGUGAGGAGAGCUUUCAGAAGCUCAAGACAGCCUUGACCACAGCUCCAGUGUUAGUUUUGCCAUCAGCUUCAGGUUCAUAUACCGUGUAUUGUAAUGCUUCGAGAGUUGGUAUUGGUUGCGUUUUGAUGCAGGAGGGUAGAGUUAUUGCUUAUGCUUCUCGUUAGUUGAAGCCCCAUGAAAAGAACUACCCCGUUCAUGAUUUGGAGUUGGCUGCCAAGUUCACGCGUUGAAGAUUUUGAGGCAUUACUUGUAUGGUGUGUCUUGUGAGGUGUUUACUGAUCAUCGUAGUUUCCAGCACUUGUUCAAACAGAAUGAUCUCAAUUUGAGGUAGCGUAGGUGCUUGGAGUUGCUAAAGGAUUAUGAUAUCACUAUAGUGUACCAUCCGAGAAAGGCCAAUGUGGUGGCCGAUACUUUGAGCCGAAAGGCGGUGAGUAUGGGGAGUUUAGCAUAUAUUCCAGUUGGGGAGAGACCUUUUGCACUUGACGUUCAGGCCUUGGCCAAUCGGUUUGUGAGGUUGGAAAUUUCCAAGGCCAGUCGGGUAUUGGCUUGUGUGGUUUCUCGGUCUUCCUUAUAUGAUCGCAGCAGAGAGUGUCAGUAUGAUGAUCCGCAUUUGCUUGUCCUUAAGGACAGAGUUCAGCAUGAUGAUGCCAGAGAUGUGACCAUUGGUGAUGAUGGGGUGUUGAGGAUGCAGAGCCGGAUUUGUGUGCCUAAUGUAUAUGGGCUUCGGGAGUUGAUUCUGGAGGAGGCCCAUAGCUCGCGGUAUUCCAUUCAUCUGGGUGCUGCGAAGAUUUAUCAGGAUUUGAGGCAGCAUUAUUAGUGGAGGAGAAUAUAGAAAGAUAUUGUGGGAUUUAUAGCUCGGUGUCUCAAUUGUCAGCAGGUGAAAUAUAAGCAUUAGAGACCGGGUGGCUUGCUUCAGCAGAUGGAUAUUCCAAAGUGGAAAUGGGACCAGAUCACUAUAGACUUUGUAGUCGGACUUCCAUGGACUUUGAAGAAGUUCAAUGCUAUUUGGGUGAUUGUGGAUCGGCUAACCAAGUCUGCGCACUUCAUUCCUGUGUGUACUACUUAUUCUUUAGAGCAGUUGGUAGAGAUCUAUAUCCGGGAUAUUGUUCGUUUGCAUGGUGUCCCAGUUUCCAUCAACUCAGAUAGGGGCACUCAGUUCACUUCGCAGUUUUUGAGGUCUGUACAGCGAGAGUUUGGUACUCAAGUCGAGUUGAGCACAGAUUCUCACCCUUAGAAGGACGGGCAGUCCAAGCGCACUAUUCAGAUAUUGAAGGACAUGUUGCAUAAUUGUGUCAUUGAUUUCGGAGGGUCAUGGGAUCAGUUUCUACCACUUGCAGUGUUUGCUUAAACAACAGCUAUCGGUCGAGUAUUCAUAUGGCUCCAUAUGAGGCUUUGUAUGGGAGGCGGUGUAGAUCUCCAGUUGGUUGGUUUGAGCUAGGUGAGGCUAGGCUAUUGGGGACAGACUUGGUGCAGGAUGUUUUAGAAAAGGUGAAGGUGAUUCAGGAUAGGCUUCGUACAGCACAGUUGAGGCAAAAGAGUUAUGCUAACAAGAAGGUUCGGGAUGUGUCCUACAUGGUUGGUGAGAAGGUUCUGUUGAAGGUUUCGCCCAUGAAGGGUGUUAUGAGGUUUGAGAAUAAAGGUAAAUUGAGUCUUCGAUUCAUUGGACCUUUUGAGGUGCUUCGGAGGAUUGGGGAGGUGGCUUAUGAGCUUGCUUUGCCACCCAGCUUGUCGAGUGUACAUCUGGUAUAUCAUGUGUCCAUGCUUCGAAAGUAUAUUGGGGAUCCGUCUCAUGUUUUGGAUUUUAGCACUAUUCAGUUGGAUGAUGAUUUGACCUAUGAUGUGGAGCCAGUAGCUAUUUCGGGUCGUCAGGUUCGAAAGUUGAGGUCAAAAGAUAUAGCUUCAGUGAAAGUGCAGUGGAAAGGUCAGCCCGUGGAGGAGGCUAUCUGGGAAACCAAGCGAGAGAUGCGGAGCAGAUAUCCUUACCUGUUUGAGGCUUCAGGUAUGUUUCUUAACUCAUUCGAGGACGAACGUUUGUUUAAGUUGGGGAGUAUGUGACGACCCGGUCAGUCGUCUCAUGAGUUACCGCUCUAUUUCCCCCAUUUCUGCUCCUUAUUACUUUGUCUAUCGAUUCUAUAUGUGAUCGNNNNNNNNNNNNNNNNNNNNNNNNNAGUUCCAAUGGUUCAAAUAGCUUCGGGAGGUGAUUUGGGACUUAGGAGCGUGAUCAGAAUGAGUUUUGGAGGUCCGGAGUAGAUUUAGGCUUGAAUUGGCGAAAGUGAAUUUUUGACGUUUUCCGGUUGAUAGGUGAGAUUUUAAUAUAGGGUCUAGAAUGGAAUUCCGAGAGUUGUAGUAGUUCUGUUGUGUCACUUAGGAUGUGUGUGCAAAAUUUCAGGUCAUUCGGACGUGGUUUGGUUGGGUUUUUGAUCAAAGGCAUAAUUCGGAAGAAUUUGGAAAACUUAGGCUUGAAUCCGAUGUAUUUUGGUUGAUUCGAUGAUGUUUGAGGUGUUUUGAAGAUUGGCAUAAGUUUGAAUAAGGUUAUGGGAUAUGUUUGUACUUUUGGUUGAGGUCCCGGGGGCCUCGGGGUGACUUCGGAUGGUUGAUGGAGAAGUUUGGAAUUUUGGUAAGCUGCAGAUUUUCUACUUCUGGUAUUUCCGCACCUGCGGAUUGGGGACCGUAGGUGCGAUGCCGCAGAUGCAGACGAUUGGUCGCAGAAGCGGAAAAUGGCUGGAAAGGAAGAACCGCAGAAGCGGUUGUUGGAUCGCACCUGCGAAGGCGCAGGUGCGGAAUGUUCAUCGCAGAUGUGAAAAGUUGAGACUUAAGUGAGGACCGCAAAUGCGGUGGUCUUGACGCAGAAGCGGUACCGCAAAAAUAGGAAUUGGGCCGCAGAUGCGAAAUCCCUGGGCCAGAAAGUAUAAAUUGUUUCCUUCGCGAUUUUUGAGCCAUUCCACCAUUUCUACGUUGGCUUUGGAGCUUUUUAGAUGAUUUUGAAGAAGGAUUUCAAGGGAACUUUAUUGAGGUAACGAUUUUGGACCUAAAACUCGUUCCUAUUGUAAUAUUUCACGGAUUAGAGCUAUAAUUAAUGGAAUUAAGGGUUAAAAUUGGGGAAACUAGGGCUUGGUAUUGGAGACCCAGACUUGAGGAUUUGAGGGACCAUUUGUGGUCAGAUUUUGGUACUUUUGAUAUGUAUGAACUCGUGGUGGGAUGAGGAAUCUAUUGAUGUGAAUUUUAUCGAAUCCCGAGACGUGGGCCCGGGGGUCGAAUUUUAGUAAUUCGGGACUUAGGUUGUAAAAUGAUUAUUUUCGCUUGGGCUUCAUUCCCUUAGCAUAUUUUGACGUCAUGAUUCUAAUUUUGGAUAGAUUCAACGCGAGUGAAGACCGAUUCGAGGGGCAAAGGCCUCGCGGGCUAGAGUUUGGACCGGAUUGAGGUGACUAAUGAUUGUAAAUGAUUUUCUGAGGGUAUGAAAUCCCGGAUUGCACAUCGUUGUGCUAUAUUGAGGUGACGCACACGUUAGAUGACGAGCAUGGGGUCGUGCACUAUUGGGGAUUGUGACUUAGUCCGUCCCGAAUGACUGUUUUACCGCGUAUUUGACUGAAAACUAUUUGUUAUCAUCAUGUUUUGGGCUGAACACCAUAUUUGGGUUUCGUGCCAAUUAUUUGAACCCUUAGGGGAUUUUUAUUGAUAUUUCCUCACUGUUUUGACUUUAUACUUGAACUCAAUCAUGUUAUAUUCUAUUGUUUUUCAUAACUCAGCCAUGUUUACACUACUUUAACACUUAAAUGAUAUUUUGGGUUGAGCACUAUGUUUUACUAUUGCCCAAGCGGCUGUGAGAUUCUGACUGAGUAAGGCCGAGGGCCUAUGUUGUGAGGAAACAUUGAUGUUGAUAUGAGGCCGAGGGCCUAGUGAUGAUGCCACGAGAUGGCUUGAUAUUGCGCUUGGGCCGUAAGGAGCCCCUCCAGGAGUCUGCACACCCCCAGUGAGCGCGGAUACCCAUUGUGAUGUGAGAUGUAGCCCGAAGGGCUGGUAUUGAUCUGAGAUAUUGCCCGAGGGGCGGAAUUGUUGACAUUGUACCCGAAGGGCGAACCUUUAUGUGUUUAUCUUUCUUAUUUUUUCGUCAUUUACCUGUUUAAUUGUUGAAAAGGCAUUCCAUGAAUUAUAAACUGAACUUAAAUGAUUUUAUAUUUCUUGACUGAUUCACUAUUUUUACUGGUUUUACUGCUUCAUUAUAGUAUGUAAUGUGCCUUACGUGUUUUCAUAUCUCUCAAUCAUUUAUUUAUGUUUAUUACUCACUGAGUUAGAGUACUCACUUUACUCCCUGCACCCCGUGUGCAGAUUCAGGCGUUGUUGAUCCUGCUAGUGCGAGUUGAGAGCUCCUGGCAGACUUCGGAGUCCACGAGGUAGUUGUUUGGCAUCCGCAAUCCCGUGUUUCUACCCCUUUAUCUUAUUUAUAUCUCUUUAUCAGUUAUUCUGUAAUAGCUUAUAUAUUUUUCAGACUUGUGUUGGAAUUGAUAGAUGCUCAUGACUAAUGAUACCCCGGUAUCGGGCUGUGUUGGGUUGUAUUCCGCAAAUUGCUUUGUAUUGUCACCGUUACUUUUGAAUUUAUAUCAUGUUUAAGACUAAAUGCUUAUUGUUUAAUUGCUUAAAACUGAAUUGAAAAUUUGUCGGUUGGCCUUGUCUUCACGAGAGGCGCCAUCACGACCGGGUCCGGGUUUGG
Molecule: long non-coding RNA, 4895 nt
Filed under: Nicotiana tabacum (common tobacco)
Lineage: Eukaryota; Viridiplantae; Streptophyta; Magnoliopsida; Solanales; Solanaceae
Description: long non-coding RNA (NTAB_LNC010342)
Source: RNAcentral